Molecule: long non-coding RNA, 322 nt
Organism: Hordeum vulgare subsp. vulgare (domesticated barley)
Lineage: Eukaryota; Viridiplantae; Streptophyta; Magnoliopsida; Poales; Poaceae
Exons: 3
Source: RefSeq, a predicted model, not a curated record
CUGGUGGCGGGAGGCCCCAUGGCUCGAAAGCCAUUGGAGAUGGGCUGAUACGUUGUCCUCUCACUCUUCCGGAGAUAAAGGCGCGCCAGACGAGCUCGUGUCCUAAGAUAAGGCCUCGUCCACGGCCAGUCGAUCUCGCCAUCGAGGCUGCUCUUCAGAGAGAGAGAGCGACAACUCAUGCUGCUAUUCAGGAGCUUCAGGAGAGGGAGCGGGUGGUGGCGGAGAAGGUGGCUCGGUUUUUGGAGGAGGAGAGGGCACGGAAUGAGGCGGCUCACCGUGCCAUGUAGGAGCUCCUUGUGUCUAUGUGCGAGAAGACCGGUCA